CAGAGGAAGACUGAUGCUAGUU
Molecule: microRNA, 22 nt
Filed under: Gallus gallus (chicken)
Lineage: Eukaryota; Metazoa; Chordata; Aves; Galliformes; Phasianidae
Description: gga-miR-3539
Source: miRBase by way of RNAcentral